Molecule: ribosomal RNA, 547 nt
Filed under: uncultured bacterium
Lineage: Bacteria
Description: bacterial SSU rRNA
Rfam family: Bacterial small subunit ribosomal RNA
Source: RNAcentral
UGGGGAAUAUUGCGCAAUGGGGGGAACCCUGACGCAGCCAUGCCGCGUGAAUGAAGAAGGCCUUAGGGUUGUAAAGUCCUUUCGGUAUUGAGGAAGGUUGAUGUGUUAAUAGCACAUCAAAUUGACGUUAAAUACAGAAGAAGCACCGGCUAACUCCGUGCCAGCAGCCGCGGUAAUACGGAGGGUGCGAGCGUUAAUCGGAAUAACUGGGCGUAAAGGGCACGCAGGCGGUUAUUUAAGUGAGGUGUGAAAGCCCCGGGCUUAACCUGGGAAUUGCAUUUCAGACUGGGUAACUAGAGUACUUUAGGGAGGGGUAGAAUUCCACGUGUAGCGGUGAAAUGCGUAGAGAUGUGGAGGAAUACCGAAGGCGAAGCNAGCCCCUUGGGAAUGUACUGACGCUCAUGUGCGAAAGCGUGGGGAGCAAACAGGAUUAGAUACCCUGGUAGUCCACGCUGUAAACGCUGUCGGUUUGGGGGGUGGGGUUUAACUCUGGCGCCCGUAGCUAACGUGAUAAAUCGACCGCCUGGGGAGUACGGCCGCAAGGUUA